AGUGAACGCUGGCGGUAGGCCUAACACAUGCAAGUCGAACGGCAGCACAGUAAGAUUUUGCUCUUACGGUUGGCGGGGGGCGGAUGGGUAACGAAUGCAUAGCAACCUACUUUGUCGGGGGGGAUAACGGAGAGCAACUUACACUACUACCGCAUACGUUCUACGGGUGAAUGCAGGGGAUCUUCGGACUUUGCGUGACUGUAUGAGCCGAUGCCGCAUUAGCUAGUUGGCUAGGUAAAGGCACACCAAGGCAACGAUCCGUAGCUGAUCUGAGAGGAUGAUCGGCCACACUGGAACUGAGACACGGUCCAGACUCCUACGGGAGGCAGCAGUGGGGAAUCUUGCGCAAUGGGCGCAAGCCUGAUGGAGCAACGCCGCGUGAGUGAUGAAGGUCUUCGGAUCGUAAAGCCCUGUUAUUGGGGAAGAAAAAAAGCGGAAUAAAACACGGAUGUCUUGACGGUACCCAAAGAGAAAGCACCGGCUAACUUCGUG
Molecule: ribosomal RNA, 492 nt
Filed under: uncultured bacterium
Lineage: Bacteria
Description: partial 16S ribosomal RNA
Rfam family: Bacterial small subunit ribosomal RNA
Source: RNAcentral